This 446-nucleotide ribosomal RNA is filed under the name uncultured bacterium. RNAcentral's name for it is "partial 16S ribosomal RNA". It matches the Rfam family "Bacterial small subunit ribosomal RNA", at positions 338 to 795 of the family's 1533-position model. The record is from RNAcentral.
CCUACGGGUGGCAGCAGUCGAGAAUCAUUCACAAUGGGGGAAACCCUGAUGGUGCGACGCCGCGUGGGGGAAUGAAGGUCUUCGGAUUGUAAACCCCUGUCAUGUGGGAGCAAAUUAAAAAGAUAGUACCACAAGAGGAAGAGACGGCUAACGCUGUGCCAGCAGCCGCGGUAAUACAGAGGUCUCAAGCGUUGUUCGGAAUCACUGGGCGUAAAGCGUGCGUAGGCUGUUUCGUAAGUCGUGUGUGAAAGGCGCGGGCUCAACCCGCGGACGGCACAUGAUACUGGGCGACUAGAGUAAGGGAGGGGGAACCGGAAUUCUCGGUGUAGCAGUGAAAUGCGUAGAUAUCGAGAGGAACACUCGUGGCGAAGGCGGGUUCCUGGACAUUAACUGACGCUGAGGCACGAAGGCCAGGGGAGCGAAAGGGAUUAGAUACCCCAGUAGUC